This 655-nucleotide ribosomal RNA is filed under the name Enterococcus faecium. RNAcentral describes it as "bacterial SSU rRNA". It matches the Rfam family "Bacterial small subunit ribosomal RNA", at positions 202 to 844 of the family's 1533-position model. Lineage: Bacteria; Bacillati; Bacillota; Bacilli; Lactobacillales; Enterococcaceae. The record is from RNAcentral.
AAAGGCGCUUUCGGGUGUCGCUGAUGGAUGGACCCGCGGUGCAUUAGCUAGUUGGUGAGGUAACGGCUCACCAAGGCCACGAUGCAUAGCCGACCUGAGAGGGUGAUCGGCCACAUUGGGACUGAGACACGGCCCAAACUCCUACGGGAGGCAGCAGUAGGGAAUCUUCGGCAAUGGACGAAAGUCUGACCGAGCAACGCCGCGUGAGUGAAGAAGGUUUUCGGAUCGUAAAACUCUGUUGUUAGAGAAGAACAAGGAUGAGAGUAACUGUUCAUCCCUUGACGGUAUCUAACCAGAAAGCCACGGCUAACUACGUGCCAGCAGCCGCGGUAAUACGUAGGUGGCAAGCGUUGUCCGGAUUUAUUGGGCGUAAAGCGAGCGCAGGCGGUUUCUUAAGUCUGAUGUGAAAGCCCCCGGCUCAACCGGGGAGGGUCAUUGGAAACUGGGAGACUUGAGUGCAGAAGAGGAGAGUGGAAUUCCAUGUGUAGCGGUGAAAUGCGUAGAUAUAUGGAGGAACACCAGUGGCGAAGGCGGCUCUCUGGUCUGUAACUGACGCUGAGGCUCGAAAGCGUGGGGAGCAAACAGGAUUAGAUACCCUGGUAGUCCACGCCGUAAACGAUGAGUGCUAAGUGUUGGAGGGUUUCCGCCCUUCAGU